UCUCCGUAGGUGAACCUGCGGAGGGAUCAUUACCGAGUGAGGGCUCACGCCCGACCUCCAACCCUUUGUGAACACAUCUUGUUGCUUCGGGGGCGACCCUGCCGGCACUCUGUCGCCGGGCGCCCCCGAAGGUCUCCAAACACUGCAUCUUUGCGUCGGUGUUUAAAACAAAUUAAACAAUACUUACAACGACGGAUCUCUUGGUUCUGGCAUAGAUGAAGAACGCAGC
Molecule: unclassified non-coding RNA, 229 nt
Filed under: uncultured fungus
Lineage: Eukaryota; Fungi
Description: sequence contains ITS1, 5.8S rRNA gene
Rfam family: 5.8S ribosomal RNA (bases 181-229)
Source: RNAcentral